GAUGAACGCUGGCGGCGUGCCUAAUACAUGCAAGUCGAGCGAACAGACGAGGAGCUUGCUCCUCUGACGUUAGCGGCGGACGGGUGAGUAACACGUGGAUAACCUACCUAUAAGACUGGGAUAACUUCGGGAAACCGGAGCUAAUACCGGAUAAUAUAUUGAACCGCAUGGUUCAAUAGUGACAGACGGUUUUGCUGUCACUUAUAGAUGGAUCCGCGCCGCAUUAGCUAGUUGGUAAGGUAACGGCCUACCAAGGCAACGAUGCGUAGCCGACCUGAGAGGGUGAUCGGCCACACUGGAACUGAGACACGGUCCAGACUCCUACGGGAGGCAGCAGUAGGGAAUCUUCCGCAAUGGGCGAAAGCCUGACGGAGCAACGCCGCGUGAGUGAUGAAGGUCUUCGGAUCGUAAAACUCUGUUAUUAGGGAAGAACAAAUGUGUAAGUAACUAUGCACGUCUUGACGGUACCUAAUCAGAAAGCCACGGCUAACUACGUG
Molecule: ribosomal RNA, 497 nt
Filed under: uncultured bacterium
Lineage: Bacteria
Description: partial 16S ribosomal RNA
Rfam family: Bacterial small subunit ribosomal RNA
Source: RNAcentral